UACAGAGGUCUCAAGCGUUGUUCGGAUUCAUUGGGCGUAAAGGGUGCGUAGGCGGCGAGGUUAGUCGGAUGUGAAAUCCCAGGGCUCAACCCUGGAACUGCAUUCGAUACUGCCUUGCUAGAGUACUGGAGAGGAGACUGGAAUUUACGGUGUAGCAGUGAAAUGCGUAGAUAUCGUCAGGAAGACCAGUGGCGAAGGCGAGUCUCUGGACAGUUACUGACGCUGAGGCACGAAGGCCAGGGGAGCAAACGGG
Molecule: ribosomal RNA, 253 nt
Filed under: uncultured bacterium
Lineage: Bacteria
Description: partial 16S ribosomal RNA
Rfam family: Bacterial small subunit ribosomal RNA
Source: RNAcentral